This 151-nucleotide small RNA is filed under the name Arabidopsis thaliana (thale cress). Its description in RNAcentral is "ATSL222670". The record is from RNAcentral. Lineage: Eukaryota; Viridiplantae; Streptophyta; Magnoliopsida; Brassicales; Brassicaceae.
GGCACAGUGUUACAACCCUUUCAUGCUUUCAGCUUUUCAACAAGUGUUUCCUACUGGUAAUCAUCAGUCUUUAGUUGAUAUGCUUAUGCAAUACAAGACUCAAACAACCGCUCCUCCUGUUCCUCCUCCCUCUGCCUAUGGGUUCGGUGGA